CAUCUUUUCUUGUUAGUUUUUGAAGUAUGGCCUGCCCACUGACUUAGAGUUGAAGGGCCGCGGUAUUUUGACCGUGCAAAGGUAGCAUAAUCAUUAGUUCUUUAAUUGUGAUCUGGUAUGAAUGGCUUGACGAGACAUAAGCUGUCUUAGAGGUAUUGGUUUAUUGAAUUUGGUUUUUGAGUUAAAAUUCUUAAAUGUUUUUAUGGGACGAGAAGACCCUAUAGAGUUUGACAAUUUUCCUAUUUAUUCGUUGUUUGUAUUUAUUUACAUUGAGUGGGAGUGAAUUGUUUUGUUGGGGUGAUGGGAGGAAUAUUAUUUAACUCCUCUUUGUUUUUGUAUAUUUAUGUAUAUAUUUUUGAUCCAUUUAUUUUGAUUAUAAGAUUAAAUUACCUUA
Molecule: ribosomal RNA, 394 nt
Filed under: Nasutitermes ephratae
Lineage: Eukaryota; Metazoa; Arthropoda; Insecta; Blattodea; Termitidae
Description: partial 16S ribosomal RNA
Source: RNAcentral